GACGAACGCUGGCGGCGUGCCUAACACAUGCAAGUCGAACGAGAUCCAUGGGAGCUUGCUCCCGGAAGAUCUAGUGGCGAACGGGUGAGUAACACGUGAGAAACCUGCCCUGGAGUGGGGAAUAACUCGGGGAAACUCGAGCUAAUACCGCAUACCCUCGGAUGGUCGCAUGGCCGACCGAGGAAAGAUUUAUCGCUCUAGGAGGGUCUCGCGGCCUAUCAGCUAGUUGGUGGGGUAACGGCCUACCAAGGCAACGACGGGUAGCUGGUUUGAGAGAACGAUCAGCCACACUGGGACUGAGACACGGCCCAGACUCCUACGGGAGGCAGCAGUGGGGAAUCUUGCGCAAUGGGCGAAAGCCUGACGCAGCAACGCCGCGUGCGGGAUGACGGCCUCGUGGUUGUAACG
RNAcentral lists this ribosomal RNA (408 nucleotides) under uncultured bacterium. RNAcentral describes it as "bacterial SSU rRNA". It matches the Rfam family "Bacterial small subunit ribosomal RNA", at positions 28 to 430 of the family's 1533-position model. The record is from RNAcentral.